RNAcentral lists this long non-coding RNA (588 nucleotides) under Rhinopithecus bieti (black snub-nosed monkey). RNAcentral describes it as "lncRNA (ENSRBIG00000046442.1)". The record is from RNAcentral. Lineage: Eukaryota; Metazoa; Chordata; Mammalia; Primates; Cercopithecidae.
UUGGGGAUUUCUGUAUAACCCAGCCCUAGAAAAGUUGAGUUCGGGAUAUAGCUACUAAAUUCUUGAGCUCUUGCACACAGCUCUGACUAUUUCCACUGUGCCGAAAAUAACUUCCAACUGUUCUAAGGCAUUCAAGAACUGAGUUACUUAAUAAUGUACUCUUAUAUCUAGAUUAAGGUAUCAGACCAACAGAAAACGAUGCAAGACCUGAUUGGAUGACAUAAAAGGAUGUUGCAUAAGAAUCGAAGACGUCGUACACUGAAGAAUAACAAAAGACAGGUUUCCAGAAGAGGGGUCCUCCUGCAAUGCUUGGGUGGUGUCUCUGCCCAAAGGUCUGAGCUGGCAACUUAGCGCUGAUCCAAACCAACAGAGAUGUCAGGCCUGGUUUUGUCACACAACUUACGCAAACGCUGGUAUGUUUCCGGUUGUUGCUUUGAGUUUGCACAUUUGAAUUAAAGUAUCUGAAUUAUGAAAUUUUUUUUGAGAUUUUCUCUUCUUAAUAUCAGUUUAUUGAGAUAUUUUUGUUACAACCAAAUGUUUUUUUGUUUUUUUUUUUUUUUGAAGAGGUAGUCCCGCUCUGUCGCCCUG